This 467-nucleotide ribosomal RNA is filed under the name uncultured bacterium. RNAcentral describes it as "partial 16S ribosomal RNA". It matches the Rfam family "Bacterial small subunit ribosomal RNA", at positions 28 to 506 of the family's 1533-position model. The record is from RNAcentral.
GACGAACGCUGGCGGCGUGCUUAACACAUGCAAGUCGAACGGAAAGGCCCUGCUUUUGUGGGGUGCUCGAGUGGCGAACGGGUGAGUAACACGUGAGUAACCUGCCCUUGACUUUGGGAUAACUUCAGGAAACUGGGGCUAAUACCGGAUAGGAGCUCCUGCUGCAUGGUGGGGGUUGGAAAGUUUCGGCGGUUGGGGAUGGACUCGCGGCUUAUCAGCUUGUUGGUGGGGUAGUGGCUUACCAAGGCUUUGACGGGUAGCCGGCCUGAGAGGGUGACCGGCCACAUUGGGACGGAGAUACGGCCCAGACUCCUACGGGAGGCAGCAGGGGGGAAUAUUGCACAAUGGGCGGAAGCCUGAUGCAGCAACGCCGCGUGCGGGAUGACGGCCUUCGGGUUGUAAACCGCUUUCGCCUGUGACGAAGCGUGAGUGACGGUAAUGGGUAAAGAAGCACCGGCUAACUACGU